CAGUCGCCGCGGUAAUACGUAUGUCACAAGCGUUAUCCGGAUUUAUUGGGCGUAAAGCGCGUCUAGGUGGUUAUGUAAGUCUGAUGUGAAAAUGCAGGGCUCAACUCUGUAUUGCGUUGGAAACUGUGUAACUAGAGUACUGGAGAGGUAAGCGGAACUACAAGUGUAGAGGUGAAAUUCGUAGAUAUUUGUAGGAAUGCCGAUGGGGAAGCCAGCUUGCUGGACAGAUACUGACGCUAAAGCGCGAAAGCGUGGGUAGCAGACAGGAUUAGAUACCCCGGUAGUCCCUGUCUCUUAUACA
Molecule: ribosomal RNA, 301 nt
Filed under: uncultured bacterium
Lineage: Bacteria
Description: partial 16S ribosomal RNA
Rfam family: Bacterial small subunit ribosomal RNA
Source: RNAcentral